RNAcentral lists this ribosomal RNA (425 nucleotides) under uncultured bacterium. RNAcentral describes it as "partial 16S ribosomal RNA". It matches the Rfam family "Bacterial small subunit ribosomal RNA", at positions 354 to 796 of the family's 1533-position model. The record is from RNAcentral.
GUGGGGAAUCUUAGACAAUGGGCGCAAGCCUGAUCCAGCCAUGCCGCGUGAGUGAUGAAGGCCUUAGGGUUGUAAAGCUCUUUCACCGAUGAAGAUAAUGACGGUAACCGGAGAAGAAGCCCCGGCUAACUUCGUGCCAGCAGCCGUGGUAAUACGAAGGGGGCUAGCGUUGUUCGGAAUUACUGGGCGUAAAGCGCACGUAGGCGGACAUUUAAGUCAGGGGUGAAAUCCCAGAGCUCAACUCUGGAACUGCCUUUGAUACUGGGUGUCUUGAGUAUGGAAGAGGUAAGUGGAAUUCCGAGUGUAGAGGUGAAAUUCGUAGAUAUUCGGAGGAACACCAGUGGCGAAGGCGGCUUACUGGUCCAUUACUGACGCUGAGGUGCGAAAGCGUGGGGAGCAAACAGGAUUAGAUACCCGAGUAGUCC